GAUGAAUGCUGGCGGCGUGCCUAACACAUGCAAGUCGAGCGGCAGCGCGAGUAGUUUACUACUUGGCGGCGAGCGGCGGACGGCUGAGUAACGCGUGGGAACAUACCCCAAAGUGAGGGAUAACCGCUCGAAAGGGUGGCUAAUACCGCAUAUGGUCUUCGGAUUAAAGGAUUUAUCCGCUUUGGGAAUGGCCUGCGUACGAUUAGAUAGUUGGUGAGGUAAUGGCUCACCAAGUCGACGAUCGUUAACUGGUCUGAGAGGAUGAUCAGUCAGACUGGAACUGAGACACGGUCCAGACUCCUACGGGAGGCAGCAGUGAGGAAUCUUCCACAAUGGGCGAAAGCCUGAUGGAGCAACGCCGCGUGCAGGAUGAAGGCCUUCGGGUUGUAAACUGCUUUUAUAAGUGAAGAAUAUGACGGUAACUUAUGAAUAAGCACCGGCUAACUACGUGCCAGCAGCCGCAGUAA
RNAcentral lists this ribosomal RNA (467 nucleotides) under uncultured bacterium. RNAcentral's name for it is "partial 16S ribosomal RNA". It matches the Rfam family "Bacterial small subunit ribosomal RNA", at positions 28 to 523 of the family's 1533-position model. The record is from RNAcentral.